AUUGAACGCUGGCGGCAGGCCUAACACAUGCAAGUCGAGCGAGCGGCGGACGGGUGAGUAAUGUCUGGGAAACUGCCUGAUGGAGGGGGAUAACUACUGGAAACGGUAGCUAAUACCGCAUACCAUCAGAUGUGCCCAGAUGGGAUUAGCUCGUAGGUGGGGUAACGGCUCACCUAGGCGACGAGCCCUAGCUGGUCUGAGAGAAUGACCAGCGACACUGGAACGUAGACACGGUCCAGACUCCGACGGGAGGCAGCAGUGGGGAAUAGUGCACAAGGGGCGCAAGCAUGAUGCAGCCAUGCCGAGUGUAUGAAGAAGGCGUUCGGGUUGGAAAGUACUUUCAGCGGGGAGGCGUUACCGGCAGAAGAAGCACCGGCUAACUCCGUGCCAGCAGCCGCGGUAAUAC
RNAcentral lists this ribosomal RNA (406 nucleotides) under uncultured bacterium. RNAcentral describes it as "partial 16S ribosomal RNA". It matches the Rfam family "Bacterial small subunit ribosomal RNA", at positions 29 to 526 of the family's 1533-position model. The record is from RNAcentral.